AGAGUUUGAUCCUGGCUCAGGAUGAACGCCGGCGGUGUGCCUAAUACAUGCAAGUCGUACGCACUGGCCCAACUGAUUGAUGGUGCUUGCACCUGAUUGACGAUGGAUUACCAGUGAGUGGCGGACGGGUGAGUAACACGUAGGUAACCUGCCCCGGAGCGGGGGAUAACAUUUGGAAACAGAUGCUAAUACCGCAUAACAACAAAAGCCACAUGGCUUUUGUUUGAAAGAUGGCUUUGGCUAUCACUCUGGGAUGGACCUGCGGUGCAUUAGCUAGUUGGUAAGGUAACGGCUUACCAAGGCGAUGAUGCAUAGCCGAGUUGAGAGACUGAUCGGCCACAAUGGAACUGAGACACGGUCCAUACUCCUACGGGAGGCAGCAGUAGGGAAUCUUCCACAAUGGGCGCAAGCCUGAUGGAGCAACACCGCGUGAGUGAAGAAGGGUUUCGGCUCGUAAAGCUCUGUUGUGGAGAAGAACGUGCGUGAGAGUAACUGUUCACGCAGUGACGGUAUCCAACCAGAAAGUCACGGCUAACUACGUGCCAGCAGCCGCGGUAAUACGUAGGUGGCAAGCGUUAUCCGGAUUUAUUGGGCGUAAAGCGAGCGCAGGCGGUUGCUUAGGUCUGAUGUGAAAGCCUUCGGCUUAACCGAAGAAGUGCAUCGGAAACCGGGCGACUUGAGUGCAGAAGAGGACAGUGGAACUCCAUGUGUAGCGGUGGAAUGCGUAGAUAUAUGGAAGAACACCAGUGGCGAAGGCGGCUGUCUGGUCUGCAACUGACGCUGAGGCUCGAAAGCAUGGGUAGCGAACAGGAUUAGAUACCCUGGUAGUCCAUGCCGUAAACGAUGAGUGCUAGGUGUUGGAGGGUUUCCGCCCUUCAGUGCCGGAGCUAACGCAUUAAGCACUCCGCCUGGGGAGUACGACCGCAAGGUUGAAACUCAAAGGAAUUGACGGGGGCCCGCACAAGCGGUGGAGCAUGUGGUUUAAUUCGAAGCUACGCGAAGAACCUUACCAGGUCUUGACAUCUUGCGCUAACCUUAGAGAUAAGGCGUUCCCUUCGGGGACGCAAUGACAGGUGGUGCAUGGUCGUCGUCAGCUCGUGUCGUGAGAUGUUGGGUUAAGUCCCGCAACGAGCGCAACCCUUGUUACUAGUUGCCAGCAUUAAGUUGGGCACUCUAGUGAGACUGCCGGUGACAAACCGGAGGAAGGUGGGGACGACGUCAGAUCAUCAUGCCCCUUAUGACCUGGGCUACACACGUGCUACAAUGGACGGUACAACGAGUCGCAAGCUCGCGAGAGUAAGCUAAUCUCUUAAAGCCGUUCUCAGUUCGGACUGUAGGCUGCAACUCGCCUACACGAAGUCGGAAUCGCUAGUAAUCGCGGAUCAGCAUGCCGCGGUGAAUACGUUCCCGGGCCUUGUACACACCGCCCGUCACACCAUGGGAGUUUGUAACGCCCAAAGUCGGUGGCCUAACCUUUAUGGAGGGAGCCGCCUAAGGCGGGACAGAUGACUGGGGUGAAGUCGUAACAAGGUAGCCGUAGGAGAACCUGCGGCUGGAUCACCUCCUUU
This 1568-nucleotide ribosomal RNA is filed under the name Limosilactobacillus reuteri subsp. porcinus. Its description in RNAcentral is "partial 16S ribosomal RNA". It matches the Rfam family "Bacterial small subunit ribosomal RNA". Lineage: Bacteria; Bacillati; Bacillota; Bacilli; Lactobacillales; Lactobacillaceae. The record is from RNAcentral.